CCUACGGGGGGCUGCAGUGGGGAAUAUUGGACAAUGGGCGAAAGCCUGAUCCAGCCAUGCCGCGUGUGUGAAGAAGGCCUUCGGGUUGUAAAGCACUUUCAGUGGGGAAGAAAGCCUCGGGGCUAAUACCCUCGAGGAAGGACAUCACCCACAGAAGAAGCACCGGCUAACUCCGUGCCAGCAGCCGCGGUAAUACGGAGGGUGCGAGCGUUAAUCGGAAUUACUGGGCGUAAAGCGCGCGUAGGCGGUCUGAUAAGCCGGUUGUGAAAGCCCCGGGCUCAACCUGGGAACGGCAUCCGGAACUGUCAGGCUAGAGUGCAGGAGAGGAAGGUAGAAUUCCCGGUGUAGCGGUGAAAUGCGUAGAGAUCGGGAGGAAUACCAGUGGCGAAGGCGGCCUUCUGGACUGACACUGACGCUGAGGUGCGAAAGCGUGGGUAGCAAACAGGAUUAGAUACCCUAGUAGUC
Molecule: ribosomal RNA, 465 nt
Filed under: Vreelandella stevensii
Lineage: Bacteria; Pseudomonadati; Pseudomonadota; Gammaproteobacteria; Oceanospirillales; Halomonadaceae
Description: partial 16S ribosomal RNA
Rfam family: Bacterial small subunit ribosomal RNA
Source: RNAcentral